Molecule: ribosomal RNA, 550 nt
Filed under: uncultured bacterium
Lineage: Bacteria
Description: partial 16S ribosomal RNA
Rfam family: Bacterial small subunit ribosomal RNA
Source: RNAcentral
UGGGGAAUUUUGGACAAUGGGCGCAAGCCUGAUCCAGCCAUGCCGCGUGCGGGAAGAAGGCCUUCGGGUUGUAAACCGCUUUUGUCAGGGAAGAAAUCUUCUGAGUUAAUACCUCGGGAGGAUGACGGUACCUGAAGAAUAAGCACCGGCUAACUACGUGCCAGCAGCCGCGGUAAUACGUAGGGUGCAAGCGUUAAUCGGAAUUACUGGGCGUAAAGCGUGCGCAGGCGGUUUUGUAAGACAGAGGUGAAAUCCCCGGGCUCAACCUGGGAACUGCCUUUGUGACUGCAAGGCUUGAGUGCGGCAGAGGGGGGAUGGAAUUCCGCGUGUAGCAGUGAAAUGCGUAGAUAUGCGGAGGAACACCGAUGGCGAAGCAAUCCCCUGGGCCUGCACUGACGCUCAUGCACGAAAGCGUGGGGAGCAAACAGGAUUAGAUAGCCCUGGUAGUCCACGCCCUAAAACGAUGUCAACUGGUUGUUGGGAAGGUUCCUUCUCAGUAACGUAGCUAACGCGUGAAGUUGACCGCCUGGGGAGUACGGCCGCAAGGUUG